UCCCUAAUCCCUAAUCAUCCCAAAUCAAAGAUGGACAAAACCCAUGGACCUCGAAGCUCCGCUGGCACACAACAUUCAAUUCAUCCCAAACAGCACCCUGUUAACACCGGCUGCACCACCUAUGUUCCCUCUCUUGUUCAUCAACUCACCCCACCUCCUUAACACCAUGGCCCUAAAACAACAGAGAUACAGGGUUUGUGGUGCGGUGGUGAGAUGGAAUCUCGCGGUUGGUUCCUUGUUCUGUGGUGGCUGGUGUCUUGCUUCAUGGUGGUUGGUGUUCUUGAACUCAUGGAGUUGAAGCCAUGGAAAGGAGAUGCUGAAGAACUUGGUAAUUGGCAGCUUCAUAAGAUUUGGGGAAACGAUUUUAAUUGUGGAAUUUUCAUUGUGUUAAAAUUCAUGGUUUCAAGUGGUGUUUCAGAAUUUCUGAUUUUUUCCUUUUUCGUUCUGGGUUGGUAAUGGAUCUGGUUCAGGGGACUAUUCAUCUUCAUGAAAACUGGGUUUAGGAAUGUUUUAUUUUUGAAGAUAAUGUUUUGUAAAAGUGAUCUGAAAAAGAAAAGAUGAGUGAAGUAUGUGUUAAUUAGGUUUA
Lotus japonicus is the source of this 586-nucleotide long non-coding RNA. RefSeq lists it as uncharacterized. Lineage: Eukaryota; Viridiplantae; Streptophyta; Magnoliopsida; Fabales; Fabaceae. The transcript has 2 exons. The record is from RefSeq and is a predicted model, not a curated record.